This 485-nucleotide ribosomal RNA is filed under the name uncultured bacterium. RNAcentral's name for it is "partial 16S ribosomal RNA". It matches the Rfam family "Bacterial small subunit ribosomal RNA", at positions 28 to 507 of the family's 1533-position model. The record is from RNAcentral.
GAUGAACGCUAGCGACAGGCUUAACACAUGCAAGUCGAGGGGCAGCACAGGUAGCAAUACCGGGUGGCGACCGGCGCGCGGGUGAGUAACGCGUAUGCAACUUACCUAUCAGAGGGGGAUAACCCGGCGAAAGUCGGACUAAUACCGCAUGAAGCAGGGGUCCCGCAUGGGGCUAUUUGCUAAAGAUUCAUCGCUGAUAGAUAGGCAUGCGUUCCAUUGGGCAGGUGGCGGGGUAACGGCCCACCAAACCGACGAUGGAUAGGGGUUCUGAGAGGAAGGUCCCCCACAUUGGUACUGAGACACGGACCAAACGCGUACGGGAGGCAGCAGUGAGGAAGAUUGGUCAAUGGCCGAGAGGCUGAACCAGCCAAGUCGCGUGAGGGAUGAAGGUACUAUGGAUCGUAAACCUCUUUUAUAAGGGAAUAAAGUGCGGGACGUGUCCCGUUUUGUAUGUACCUUAUGAAUAAGGAUCGGCUAACUCCGUG